This 430-nucleotide ribosomal RNA is filed under the name uncultured bacterium. RNAcentral describes it as "bacterial SSU rRNA". It matches the Rfam family "Bacterial small subunit ribosomal RNA", at positions 355 to 776 of the family's 1533-position model. The record is from RNAcentral.
UGGGGAAUAUUGCGCAAUGGGGGAAACCCUGACGCAGCAACGCCGCGUGAGUGAGGAAGGCUCUUGGGUCGUAAAGCUCUGUCAGAUGGGAAGAACUGUUUAAGGUCUAAUAGGCCUUAGAUUUGACGGUACCAUCAAAGGAAGCACCGGCUAACUUCGUGCCAGCAGCCGCGGUAAUACGAAGGGUGCAAGCGUUAUUCGGAUUUACUGGGCGUAAAGCGCGCGCAGGCGGAUUGGUAAGUCAGAUGUGAAAUCUCGGGGCUCAACCUCGAAACUGCGUCUGAAACUAUUAAUCUAGAGUCUUGGAGGGGGAAGUGGAAUUUCGCAUGUAGGGGUAAAAUCCGUAGAGAUGCGAAGGAACACCAGUGGCGAAGGCGACUUCCUGGACAAGAACUGACGCUGAGGCGCGAAAGCGUGGGGAGCAAACAGG